Molecule: unclassified non-coding RNA, 331 nt
Filed under: soil metagenome
Description: partial contains 5.8S ribosomal RNA, internal transcribed spacer 2, and large subunit ribosomal RNA
Rfam family: 5.8S ribosomal RNA (bases 1-120)
Source: RNAcentral
GAUGAAGAACGCAGCGAAAUGCGAUAAGUAAUUUGAAUUGCAGAAUUCAGUGAAUCAUCGAAUCUUUGAACGCACAUUGCGCCCCCUGGUAUUCCGGGGGGCAUGCCUGUUCGAGCGUCAUUUCACCACUCAAGCCUCGCUUGGUAUUGGGCAACGCGGUCCGCCGCGUGCCUCAAAUCGACCGGCUGGGUCUUCUGUCCCCUAAGCGUUGUGGAAACUAUUCGCUAAAGGGUGUUCGGGAGGCUACGCCGUAAAACAACCCCAUUUCUAAGGUUGACCUCGGAUCAGGUAGGGAUACCCGCUGAACUUAAGCAUAUCAAUAAGCGGAGGA